Long non-coding RNA from Aethalodelphis obliquidens (Pacific white-sided dolphin), 7089 nucleotides. RefSeq lists it as uncharacterized. NCBI's taxonomy places the organism in Eukaryota, Metazoa, Chordata, Mammalia, Artiodactyla, Delphinidae. The transcript has 4 exons. The record is from RefSeq and is a predicted model, not a curated record.
ACAUGAUAUUUCUGCAGUGAGAACUUUCUUGAAUUUCAGCUUCUUCAUUUGUCAAGGAGUCCUUGGAUUUUGGAACUUUUAUUAGUAAAUCUUCCAGAUAUCUAAUCACUAAUUGUCAGAUAUAAGAAUGCACUAAAACUUACUUGAAUUUCACAAUUUAAAAUCUUAACUUUAAAAAAUAUAACAUGUAGCCCAGUGUAUAAGGCACAAAUAUUCAAUUUAAUGAAACUUGUGUGGAUUUCUGUUUUCAGAUUUGGCAAGCAAUAUUCACGGUCACUUAAGGAGUAGGAUCUAGUGUAUUACUGUUACCUGUGGGUGGCUGCAUAGAAAUUUAUAGGCCUGGGAAAUGCUAGGUAAUGAGGAUGCUCCAUAAAGAGGCACAUUCCACCAGGGAGAAAGUCAUCCAAUUGCAUCACAAUUGUCAAGAAAUAUAUCUACUCAGUCACAUGGUGUAUUUUUCAUGGUCUUUGCUUUAUUCAUUUCAUGUGCAUUUUGACUAAAAAGAUACAGUGUGCAUUUUAUUAUCUCUUAUAUUUUCUAAUAAAUACAAAUGUGGAAUGCUUUUUUUCUCUUUUCCAUUCUUCUCAGAUGUGUGAUGAUCAUCAAAUAAGAGAACAAUUUUGAAAUAUAACAGUCCAUUUGGGCUGCUAUAACAAAAUACCAUAGACUGGGUAGCUUAGAAACAACACACAGUUAUUUCUCAGGAUUCUGGAGGCUGGAAAUCUGAGGAGAUGAUGGAUAUUCUCUAAACUUACAGUGAUCAUCAUUACAUGAUUAUAAUUCCUUUCAGACCUCGAACAACCAUCUAAGCCAUUCACCUGCAUGGGAAUCCAUGUGUAUCUGCACUUUGGACCACUUCUCCUUCCACACACACAACAGCAACCUAUUUGGAUUGCUUGCUGUUGUGCCUACUGGAAAGAUUUCCUUUCAUCACCGCCCUUGAGGACGAAUGCUGAGUGGGACUGUGACACAACAGAAGUCCGUUUUUGCCUGCGUCAACAUUGCACUGACUCAUCUGUGCACCAGGACUGUUACUCUUCCUCGGUCAGGUGGUUGGAAGGGACCAGCUCUCCCUUCCCCAUGAGACCUUAUAAAUAAGCUGAGGGAUUUGUGUUAAUACAAAAAAGGCGAAUGAACGUGCAAAGGAAUCAGCCUGGGCUUGGUGCAGAGCUACCUGGACUAGAUUUCUGAGAAAUCUAAUGUCAGCCAGAGAAGCGCCCCAACUGAGGAACUUAAGGAUGAACCAAAGCUUCAGAGCAAAAGCACGUCAGCUAAGUUUGUACCGAUAUGCAUGGUGGAGUACAUACACAUUAGUCUUCCAUGGACUACCAUAAGGGACCUUGAACUUUUUGUUUGCACAUCAGUUAAAAUAAUACUGAAAAUCUUUUUAUUUCUUCCACAUUAGGUUAACAGCUAAAAUAGUUUACUCUAAGUUUAAGUUGUUGAAAAUAAUGUAAUUUCUAGCCAGUUAUAAGUAUUAGCCCUACAACAAACUGUCAAAUAAUUAAAAAAAAUUUCCAGUGGAAUCUUGAAAUAAUAGCAAUUCAAUAGCCACGAUACCUCAUUUAAAUAUGGGAACAAGAUUAUUUUAAUAAUCAGAAAAUUUAUAUAUACCAUUCCUUGUCUUCUUGAAUUUUCCCUUCCAUUCAACUCCCUCCACAAAAUUUUAAUCUAAUGGAAUUUUUUUAUGCUUGGAUGUCUUAUAUUGAUUACAUACACUUUGUAAAAAUUAAGUAUAUGAAUUGAAAUCUGAAAUUAACAUGUUUUCUAUAAGCCUCUAAUAGAUCUAACUUUAUUACUGUUGUUAUGACACAAAGCAACAUGCUUUGCAAAUUUUUAUAGUUAUAUAAUUAUAUCUAUAAACAUAGAAGUAAACUUGAUAUGAGAAAGGCUCACUCAUUCAUAUACAGGUCUAUGGGACUGCAAGGGUAAGCCCCUCUGGCCACCGGUGCCAGGCGAUCUAGAUGAGUCCUCUGGGAGGCAGUUUCAAAAACCACGGCACCAGGCACAGAACCCGGACCGCACAUGCGCGUGAUAGGGCAUUUCCGGAGACGCGGGCGCUCAGAGCGCGGAGAGGAAGAGCGCGAGCAUGGCGCCGCCCUCCUGUCUCUGUUUCUGGAACGCUCCCCAGCAGGCCGCCAAAUGAGUGUCAACUCAGACGCUUGCCCCUUGGGCGAAGCUCCCAGACAAGCUGAGCGUGUCCCACACACAGUCACGGAGCAGCCCGGUCGUCGGCGGGAACCGUGGGGCGGGUGAGUCCGGGCUGGAGUCGUGUGCGUUUUCUAAGCUAGGUAUUUCAGGGGCUUGUCUCUCAGGUGCAGGUCUUAAAAGGUUGAAGAUGUCCCAUGUGGGGUUCAGGCCCUUGUCUCCUCGGGGAGAAGCUCCCAUUUUGUGUUCCCUCCUGACGGUGGGGCGCUGUGCUGGGAGGGGGUGGGGUUUAUGGUGAGAUUGUGUCCCAGCCUCUCCUACCGGGUUUGAUGUGGACCUUCUCUUGUUUGUCAGGCAGGUAGGAGUUGCUUAGACAGUGUUUAGGUUUUUUUGCAGAGGCAGUUAUUCCAUACGUAGCUGUAGGUUCGGUGUGUUUGUGGAAGGAGGUGAGUUCGGGAACCUGUUAACGACGUCAUCUUAAACUGGAACCCCCGAAAAAGGUUCAUGAUAAAAUACCUUAGCUUAUCAUCUGCAUCUGAAUAUUACUGAUUAUGGGAAUGAGACGGGGUUCAAUGGAAUAAAACAGCAGCCAAAACGUGGAAAAUACUAGGUAUACAAAAGGUAUUUUAAUGAUAGCUUAUUCUCAUUAAUCUAAAUCUACCAGAUAUGUAAUAAGAAUAAAUAAGCAAACACAGAAGCGAUUGACGGAGGAUAGCUGUCAGAAAUCUUGGUGCCCAAGUGAAAAGUGAAUAUGGAUUUUCACGUAUAUAGUUGUGAAAGGGAAGGUCCAGAAAGAUCUCUCUACGUUGGUUGUAUUCUCAGAACGAAGCUGAGGAUCGGGAAAAUCAUUGCUUUAAAGUUACCUAUGCUUGCUUAGCCUUGGAACAUUUCUGUAUGACUCAGGGGUACUGGCAUCCCCAUUCAAAGACCCCCUAGGUAUUUGCCGUGUUUUAUGAACAUUAUGAAUUCCAUCAUGAUCCAAUAGAACAAAAGCCAUGAGAAUAAUAGAGUGUGUGCAUAAGCAGGGAUGUGCAUUUACACUGGAAAUAAAAGUAGCAAUCAAGGUAGAGCUAAUUUUUUUAAAAAGCGAGAAAAUGAGAAAGUUCAUGUCUGAAUGCAGUGUAGGAAUGAUUCUGAAAGAAGAACGGGCAAAUCAAGCAAAUGUGAGAAGUAUUGAUUGUAUCCUACCAGCAAUAUCAGAAAAAGGGAUGAUGAAAACGUAUUUACUGAAUGAAAAAAAAAAAAAGAAACCGGAAAAGAAAACUGACCUUUUAAGCAUGUGGCUAGAGGAUUCCUGCUACCACUGCAGGUCAAUGAUCGGAUUAUGAUUCAGGAGAAGACGUGCAGGUUUUGGGCAAUGUAAAGCCUAAGCUUGGUGGCAGUGUUUCGAUGACCUCUUUCUCAGUAGAUUUCAGGCCUGGUAGCAUCUGGACCAUAUCAAAGCAUCUGGACAAGGCAGCCUGUGCAGGCACCUACAAACUCACAGGCAUCACCAGAAAGGAUGCUGCAGGCCUCAGCAGGCUUUCAAAGUGACUGUGAGUGGCCACCCCUACUAACAGUGAAGGUUUCUCUGGGUCAUAUUCAUGCUGUCUCCAGAUUCACUAAAGAUUUAUUAUACUUUACAUCCUGUUUUUCUAUAUUGUAGGGGAAUCAAGAAUGGGACUGUAUUCCCACUUUCAGCAAAUCAGCAUAAAGAAAGCAUAGCAGCCCGGAGGAGACAGCUGGGAGGGUAGCAGGGCCUGACUGGUGGGGCUCUGAAGCUGCAGUGUUAUCUUUUAAUUAACAAAUCAAGUAGACAUUUUAAGCUCCUAUAUGUGGGUGUAUUUGGUUUUGUCUUAAUCUUUAUAGAUGAUGUUAAAGAUAAUAAUUACCUUUUUCUCACUUAAAGUCCUUGGAGCUCUCUUCAUUCUUUGUGCUUAUUUACGCUAGGCACAAUUCAGAUAACACUCAUUUUAAAAGUUUCUAACAUGUCAAUCAUAUAUCCAUUUAUUCAUCUAUUCAAGAUAUAUUUAUUGUGCAAAUGCUAUGUACUUGGCAUUGGAAAUAAAGUUGUGGAUCAGGUGGUAAUUAUCCUUGAGCUCAUGGAGUUUAGAGCAUCAUAGGGCAAUAGAUAUUAAAAAAGUAGCCUAAUAACUAAUUGUAUUAAGAAUUUUGAAGAAUAACUUUAAGGCACUAUGUAAGUGUACGAGUUGUCAACUAAGUUGUAAUUUCCUUGAAGUCAGGGACCACUUUCUAUACUUCUUUUGGGUUUCUCUGUAGCUCCUAACAUAGAUCAUAAUAUAGAGUAUUAGAUGCUCAAUAAAUAUUUCAUUGAUUACCAUUUCUGUAUUUGAGGCUGAAAUGAUUAAUGUCAAAUCAAACAUUUUUACUUCCUCACUGAACAAACGUGAAGGCUGUACUGUAAUUUUAAUCUGUAAUUUGUACCUGAAGCCACUGUUUGCAAAACUCACUGAAGUUGUGACCCUUCUCCUAGACCUGUGCUCAGGCCAGAGGCUAUGUUUAAGUAAGGUCAGCUGAGUUCUUGAUCUCUGAAUCCUGUUGAUUGGUUACUGGGUCUCAGUUCAUAGCUCUGUUUUUUUUUUUUUUUUUUCAUAGCUCUGUUUUUGUUCAGUGGGCCUCCGUAGAGUUUGAAAGCAGUUCUUUGACUUGCCCUUGGUGUAGUUGCCCCUCCCCUACCUGCCGGGUGGCUGCUGCUCCAGCAUCCUGCCACAGAUCUAACAUGGUGGCUCAGGGUGCUCAAGGUGGCCUCAGCAGCUCGACUGUGUUUCAGGAUUUACAGUGAAGGUUAAAUGGGCUGGUAGGUAAUGCUGUUGGAACCUAAGGAGUUUCGUGUUAGUGUUAUGCCACUGCGGUAUGCUUGCUGAUUGGGCAGGAGCUUCAAUCCACUUGACGGUUAACAACAAAAUAGCAGAUCAAAUCAGGGCCAAAGUGUCUUUUAAGGGAUUGUCUAACAGACAGGCAGUUUUUGUUUGUUUUCUUAGCAAGUAGCUGUCCAUGUACUCUAACAUGGUGAUAACUUUGAACACUAAGGCAUCACUUGUUUUUCCUGGAGUAGCUGAUAUAUUGGUUUGGCCAAAAAGUUUGUUCGGGUUUUUCCAUAACAUUUUACGGAAUAUUAACUCAGUCAUUUUCAAAAUUAUUCUUAGUCCAUAGCAGUGGGCCUAUGGUUAUGUGCAAAGAUCCUUGAAUGUGUAUUUCAAAGGGACCUAAGAGUAAAAAUUGCCUUUUUUAUGGUCUCACAAAACAUGUUUUUGUACCCCUUGAAUUUUCAUGCAUGUCUUUUUCUGCUGCAGUGUAACAAGACGGGUGAGAACAACUUCAUCUGUGUAUCUUUAGUGUAUAUCACCUUGCUGUAGGACUGAGAAUGUAUUCUGUUGGGGGUAUAAAUAAGUAAAUAGAUGGCGACUGCUGAAUAUAUGAUGCCAUUUAAGAUGGGAUUUUCUCAGAAGACUCGGGAGAACUUUUGACAGUGGAUCCUGAAUUCCUUCAUUGAGUAUGAAAGUGAAGAAAAUUAAAAAAAAAAAAAAAAAAGAUUAGAGCUACAAUCUCACGAAGUGCCAGUUCAUUACAUGAGUAGAGAAAAGUACUAGGUCAUAUGUUCCGUUUACUGCUCUGGUAUAGAAAACCUUAACCUUAGGAAGUAGAAUGUACAAUUUUAGAGAACUCUUCUGGGCAGCCAGUAGCUAAAAACAUGUUUUAACCUGUGGGUCUUUAUUAAUAGAUAAUUUGCACAUCAAAAAUUUUAAAAUUGAUUCUCUUGGGUCUUACAGGUAAAGAAUCACACUACGUGCAAACAAUAAUGAUGAUUCUGUCUCUGCUUCUGUAUAAUUUAUUUUAUUAGUUUGGUCAGACUUUUAAAACAGUGAUAAAUAAUGGUGCCUUCAGGCACACUUGUCAAUGGAAAUUCCUCUUGUGUUUUGACAGUAGGUAUGACAUUGACCAUUGGUUGUUGAAUGAAGAACAUUUUUUUCUAUUUUAUUAAUAUAUUUUAAAAUUAUCAAGAAUGAAUGUUUAAUUUUUUCCAAAUGCUAGUUCAGCAUCUAUUGAGAUGGUUGCUUUAAUUCGCUUGGUUAUUGAUGUGAUCAGUUACAUUACAGAUUUAUCUUUUCUGUAUUAAAGAACCAUUCUAUCGUUCUUGGAAUGUUUCCUAACUGGCCAUGACCAUGGUGUCUUUUUUUUAAUGUUUACAUUACAUUAAAGGUUUGUAUUUGCUAAUAUUUUAUUUAUAAAUUUUAUACUAAUCUUUAUAAACUAGAUGUGUUUGUAGUUUCUUUUAUCUGCUUUGUCAGAUUUGUCCAUAAGGAUUAUUUUAGAUUGUAAGAUUAAUUACAAUGUGUUUCAUUUUUUCCUACACUUAUUAAGAGCUUAUCAAAGGAAUUAUCUGUUACUUCAAAGAAGAGAAACAUUUUCCCAUCAACUGUGUAGGCCAUGCAUUAUUUUUUGAAGGAAUGUCUUUGACGACUUUUCCCAAUUUAUUCCAUGGUUAUCAAUCUUUUACUUUUUCCAAAUGAAAACAAUUUUGUCAUUUUUUGUAGCUUGCCCUUUUUUCUAAUUUCAUAAAAUGUGUCUGUGUUUUUUUCCUCUCACCUCUCUGUUUUUAAACUGUAUUUGUCCUAGUUGGUUUAUUUCAUUGUUCUUUUAAGAUAGCUUUCGAAUUUAUUUAUGAAUUCCAAUUUACCUCUAUUUCACUAUUUCUUAGUUUUUUGAUUUGUAUUUUAUUCCUCAUUUCUGCUGGUUUUCUUGAAGUUUGUUCUGUUUUACUCUUCCUAACUUAAGUAUUUUGCCCAUUUAUUUUAUUUUUUAGAAAUUAAUUAUAAAAUCUUUGAAGUAACUUUGACUAUACAGCAGUAUUGUCCAAGUUUUUAUAUGUAGUGUUCUUAUUUUUGUUAUUUUCCAAAUGGUCUGUAGUUGUAAUUUUGGUUUCUUUUUCUAUCCAAAGGG